This 1217-nucleotide ribosomal RNA is filed under the name metagenome. RNAcentral describes it as "SSU rRNA". It matches the Rfam family "Eukaryotic small subunit ribosomal RNA", at positions 565 to 1792 of the family's 1831-position model. The record is from RNAcentral.
UGCCAGCAGCCGCGGUAAUUCCAGCUCCAAUAGCGAAUAUUAAAUUUGUUGCAGUUAAAAAGCUCGUAGUUGGAUCCAAGGUUAGGCAUGCCUGUCUGUUCUUAGUAGCAUGACUGUGUGUGUCUGCCUUUAUUAGUUGAAUGUUCAUUAUGGUGGUCUUCAUCGACUGCUAUGAUGUGCUCAACACGUUUACCUUGAAAAAAUCAGAGCGAUCAAGGCAGGCCUUCGUGCUUGUAUGUUGUUGCAAGGAAUAAUAGAAUAGGACUUCGGUUCUAUUUUGUUGGUUUUGAGAAUUGAAGUAAUGAACAAUAGAGACAGUCGGGGGCAUUUGUAUGGUGGCGUUAGAGGUGAAAUUCUGAGAUCGUCGCCAGACAAACUACUGCGAAAGCAUUUGCCAAGGAUGUCUUCAUUAAUCAAGAACGAAAGUCAGAGGUUCGAAGACGAUCAGAUACCGUCCUAGUUCUGACCAUAAACGAUGCCGACCUAUAAUCGGGGGUGGUUUAUUAUAUUGACCCUCCCGGCUGUCCUCAGGAAACUUUAAGUUGGUUCUGGGGGGAAUAUGGUCUCAAGACUGAAACUUAAAGGAAUUGACGGAAGGGCACCACCAGGAGUGGAGCCUGCGGCUUAAUUUGACCCAACACGGGGAAUCUCACCCGGUCCGGACACUGGUAGGAUGGACAGAUUGAUAGCUCUUUCUUGAUUCAGUGGGUGGUGGUGCAUGGCCGUUCUUAGUUGGUGGAGUGAUUUGUCUGGUUAAUUCCGAUAACGAACGAGACUCUGUCCUGCUAAAUAGUCCAGUGGCAUCAAUCACUAUGUGAUUACAGCUGCUGUUACUUCUUAGAGGGAUUCGCGGAUUUAAACCGCAAGAAAUAGAGCAAUAACAGGUCUGUGAUGCCCUUAGAUGUCCGGGGCCGCACGCGCGCUACAUUGACAGUAGAAGCGAGUAUUUCUACCUGGUUCGAAAGAAUUGGGAAAUCUUCGAAUUACUGUCUCCACAGGGAUUGAGGUUUGCAAUUUUGCCUCAUGAACGAGGAAUUCCCAGUAGGCGCAAGUCAUCAGCUUGCGUCGAUUACGUCCCUGCCCUUUGUACACACCGCCCGUCGCUACUACCGAUUGAGUGCAUUAGUGAGGACCUCGGAUUGAGAACAUAGUGGCGCAAGUUACUUUGUUUUCGAAAAGUGGUUCAAAUUUGUGCAUUUAGAGAUAGUAAAAGUCGU